CCGGUAAACGGCGGCCGUAACUAUAACGGUCCUAAGGUAGCGAAAUUCCUUGUCGGGUAAGUUCCGACCUGCACGAAUGGCGUAAUGAUGGCCAGGCUGUCUCCACCCGAGACUCAGUGAAAUUGAACUCGCUGUGAAGAUGCAGUGUACCCGCGGCAAGACGGAAAGACCCCGUGAACCUUUACUAUAGCUUGACACUGAACAUUGAGCCUUGAUGUGUAGGAUAGGUGGGAGGCUUUGAAGCGUGGACGCCAGUCUGCGUGGAGCCAACCUUGAAAUACCACCCUUUAAUGUUUGAUGUUCUAACGUUGGCCCCUG
Molecule: ribosomal RNA, 318 nt
Filed under: Pseudomonas aeruginosa
Lineage: Bacteria; Pseudomonadati; Pseudomonadota; Gammaproteobacteria; Pseudomonadales; Pseudomonadaceae
Description: partial 23S ribosomal RNA
Rfam family: Bacterial large subunit ribosomal RNA
Source: RNAcentral